CGCAAGCCUGACGGAGCAACGCCGCGUGUGGGGAGAAGGCUCUUGGGCUGUCAACCACUUUUCUCAGGGAAGAAGUCCUGACGGUACCUGAGGAAUCAGCCUCGGCUAACUCCGUGCCAGCAGCCGCGGUAAUACGGAGGAGGCAAGCGUUAUCCGGAAUUAUUGGGCGUAAAGCGUCCGCAGGGGGCACAUCAAGUCUGCUGUUAAAGGCUGGAGCUUAACUCCGGUAGAGCAGUGGAAACUGGUGUGCUAGAGGGCGACAGGGGUAGAGGGAAUUCCCGGUGUAGCGGUGAAAUGCGUAGAUAUUGGGAAGAACACCAGUGGCGAAAGCGCUCGACUGGGCCUGCACUGACACUGAGGGACGAAAGCUAGGGGAGCG
This 379-nucleotide ribosomal RNA is filed under the name uncultured cyanobacterium. RNAcentral's name for it is "bacterial SSU rRNA". It matches the Rfam family "Bacterial small subunit ribosomal RNA", at positions 376 to 770 of the family's 1533-position model. The record is from RNAcentral. Lineage: Bacteria; Bacillati; Cyanobacteriota.